AUUGAACGCUGGCGGCAGGCCUAACACAUGCAAGUCGAACGAGUGGCGGACGGGUGAGUAAUGUCUGGGAAACUGCCCGAUGGAGGGGGAUAACUACUGGAAACGGUAGCUAAUACCGCAUACCAUCGGAUGUGCCCAGAUGGGAUUAGCUAGUAGGUGGGGUAACGGCUCACCCAGGCGACGAUCCCUAGCUGGUCUGGGAGGAUGACCCGCCACACUGGAACUAGGACACGGUCCAGACUCCUACGGGAGGCAGCAGUGGGGAAUGUUGCACAAUGGACGCAAGCCUAAUGCAGCCAUGCCGCGUGUAUGAAGAAGGCCUUCGGGUUGUAAAGUACUUUCAGCGAGGAGGCGUUACUCGCAGAAGAAGCACCGGCUAACUCCGUGCCAGUAGCCGCGGUAAUAC
This 406-nucleotide ribosomal RNA is filed under the name uncultured bacterium. RNAcentral describes it as "partial 16S ribosomal RNA". It matches the Rfam family "Bacterial small subunit ribosomal RNA", at positions 30 to 526 of the family's 1533-position model. The record is from RNAcentral.